ACAAAGCCACCAGCACAGAUCAGCCAGUGCAGAUCCACUGAAGUCAGUUAUGUGGAGAUCUUACCUGCAAAUUUGGGUGUCUGAGAUAUUCUGCCAACGUUCAGUGUCAAGGAAGUAGAUGUUAAGUGCAAUCUGAAUACAGCACCUGGAUGGAGAAUGUUGCUUGUCUG
Molecule: long non-coding RNA, 170 nt
Organism: Orcinus orca (killer whale)
Lineage: Eukaryota; Metazoa; Chordata; Mammalia; Artiodactyla; Delphinidae
Exons: 3
Source: RefSeq, a predicted model, not a curated record